UACGUAGGUGGCAAGCGUUGUCCGGAUUUACUGGGCGUAAAGAGCGCGCAGGCGGUCGCUCAAGUCGCGUGUGAAAGCCCCCGGCUCAACUGGGGAGGGUCACGCGAUACUGAUCGACUGGAAGGCAGGAGAGGGUAGUGGAAUUCCCGGUGUAGUGGUGAAAUGCGUAGAUAUCGGGAGGAACACCAGUGGCGAAGGCGACUACCUGGCCUGUUCUUGACGCUGAGGCGCGAAAGCUAGGGGAGCAAACGGG
Molecule: ribosomal RNA, 253 nt
Filed under: uncultured bacterium
Lineage: Bacteria
Description: partial 16S ribosomal RNA
Rfam family: Bacterial small subunit ribosomal RNA
Source: RNAcentral